AGACCCUCCAUACCAUUUUAAGCUUCUUCUGUUUCCAUUUCUCUACUCUUCCCUUGUUCUUAAUUAGCUAAGCCAGCUAGCUAGCUAUGGAAAUGAAGACCACGACUAUUGCAAGUGUUUUGAUCUCUGUUCUAGUUGUGUGCAGCUUGUCUUGUGCAGCAGAGCUACUACGACGAUUCCAGCACGCACCCAAAGCCGAUGGAUCUCUUAGCUUUUUGGUUCUUGGAGAUUGGGGAAGAAGAGGAGCCUUCAAUCAAUCUCAAGUUGCUCUUCAGGUUCAUGUUCAUUAAUCAUGGAGCAGACAAACGCUUUCACGAGCACUAUGGUUUGUCUCAACUUUUCUAAUUACAUAUAUUAAUGUCAUGAUAAGGUUUGUUUUUUUUAACGAAGGAAACUUAAUUAUACAUCUUGGGACCUAGGCCUGGGUGUCAUUUUAAUCAUUGUUAAUUAACUACUGUCUUUAAUUGACUACGCUAAUCAUGAGAUUAUUCCCCACUAAACCAACCUACGUAAAUAAUGUCAUGAUAAGGUUUGCUUUUUUUUUUUUGACUUAAUGAGGUUGAUGUCCGUAGUGGAUUUUAUUAAUUAAUUGUGGGUGCUUUGUGUGUCUAAUUUUCCACACGAGGACCACACGAGGACCCUCUUCUGCAUCCUUAUCUUUCAAUUACAUUAGUAUUAUCCUACACUAUUUAACUUGCUCUGCAGGUGGAAAGUUUUUGAUUUAAGAGACAAUCAUGAUGCCUUCCACAAACGAUAAUAAUAUUAUCUACUAUAUUAUUUGAUUGUGGUGUUGUUAUGAACCCACAAAUAAUUAUCUUUACUUUACCGCACAUUUAAUUUAAGGUAUGGUGCGGGAUUAACGUCCAUACAAGUAAUUUAUUUACCAGUAAAUUUAUUUUAUGGAUUAAUUGUGCUGUAUGAUGAGUUUUUACAGUAUACAGAUCAGGACCAGAAGUUCCUUGAUCCUCAUCAUACAUUUACAUCAGGACUUGAAGAUCCUUGAUGAUGAUAUUGAUAUGAGAGCUGGCAGUCUCUCCGGUACUAUAUUUGUAAACAUGUGAUCGGACUUAAGGGUCCUUGAUCCCUGACAUGUGAAUAAGGACCUGGGGUUCCUUAAUGAUGUAACAGUACCGUAUUGGUUAAAAGUGCCGUACAUAUGGAUAAGAACUGUACUGGCAAAUGUACUGUACAUAUGAAUAGAUAUGUAUUCAUGAAUUGAUGAAU
RNAcentral lists this long non-coding RNA (1224 nucleotides) under Prunus dulcis (almond). Its description in RNAcentral is "sRNA ncRNA". Lineage: Eukaryota; Viridiplantae; Streptophyta; Magnoliopsida; Rosales; Rosaceae. The record is from RNAcentral.